RNAcentral lists this long non-coding RNA (1938 nucleotides) under Homo sapiens (human). RNAcentral describes it as "HSALNT0255003". Lineage: Eukaryota; Metazoa; Chordata; Mammalia; Primates; Hominidae. The record is from RNAcentral.
AAAGGUGACCGAGCUCAAAGCCCAGCCUCCAAGUAUCACGACUGCCCUGUUCUAGAAAUCAUUUCUGGGAGGCUGCAUCAUGCUGCCUGAGUUCUACUAUCUCAGUGCCCAGCCACGCCCAGACCAGUGAGGUUCUGGGAGGUAGGGAUGGGCCAGGGGGUUGGGGUCUCCCAGAGCUCCAGAAGUGGCAACCUAAUUCCACUCAUGUCUCAUUCCUUGACUGGUGAGGUUGACUGUAACUUAUUAAAAAAAUGACUUCUGGGGGCCGGGCGUGCUGGGUUGUUUCUUAAGGAUUCAAAAUCCAAAGGUAGGUCUCUAGUGAGGGACAGUAGGGCUCUAGUCAUUCCAUCGAUGUGAUCGCUGGGCAAAGGGAGGGUGGAGGACCUUGGGCUGACCUCAGGGAUGGUGCCAGAGAGAACGUGUGCUCAUCCUGAAACUGCUGUGUGACUUGAGAGGUUUCCUGGUCCUCUCUGAGCAGGGCUCACCAUACCAGUGCCAGGUGGGACCUCCCUGCCAAGGAGCUGAGCCCAGAGCCCAGAGUAGGGUAUCAUGAGGACCUCUUCCCUCAGGCUCAGGGCAAGCUAGGACCUGCUUGAGGCUUGCAGGGGCAGUUAGGCCAUCUGUGCACCUCGUUGGGGUCUUGGCCCUCAUUGGACCCUCCAGUGCCUUCCCUGGCCAGGGCUGGGUGGGAGAUGGAGCUGCCAGCCUGCUGGAAAUUUUUCUCCCCCUGGGGCCCAGGGCUGGGAGCCAAGGGCAGCUGGUGCCCAGGAGGAGGGAGAAGGCCCCACGGGCUGGGCGUGCCAUGAACCACAUGUGAGAUCCGGGGCAUACAGGGAGGCAAUGGGGGUUUGAGGGCAGUGCUGGGGUUCCAGAGGGGGCAGGCCAGAGCCCCCCAACAUCGGCCAGGUGGCUGGGCCUCUGCCCUCGUGGGACCCAGGGAGGGUUUCCAUGUCCCUCUAAGCCUCAGAGGAAAUUCCAGAGGCAGAGAAAGAGAAGUUGGGAAAGGGAGCUCUUCACUCUGACAUCAGCUGAGGUAGAGGCGGAGACCACAGGGGCUCCAGGGGCGUCAGAGGACAGAGCAGCCUGUCCCCACACCUCUUACCCCCUGGGGACUGGGCCUGCCCCAGCCUGUUAGGAAGCCCUGGCCUGGCCUGCCGAGGGCCCCGUCCCCCUCCCAGGACCCGUGGCUUGCAGCCAGGUGGUGGGGAGAGGGGCCCAGGUGUGUGGUGUGGGUGGCAGGUGAGUGAUGGGCCCAGCAAGGCUGGCUCAGGCCCGGGGUCACCAGAGGGUUUGGUAGAGACUCUUCAGGCCCCCCACACCCUCCCCACCCUAUGCCCCUCCACCCUCCCACCUGGGCCUCAGGGAGGCAUCACAGGCACCUCUGCACCUCCACUGUACAGAUGGGGAAACUGAGGCUCAGAGAGCACCUGGGAUUCACCACCACCACCCACGUCUUGGUCUCCCCUGGCAAUUUUAUUUUACUUUAUUUUAUUUUAUAUAUAUAUAUUUUUUUUGAGACGGAGUCUUGCUCUGUCACCCAGGCUAGAAUGCAGUGGUGCAAUCUUGGCUCACUGCAACCUCCACCUCCUGGGUUCAAGUGAUUCUCGUACCUCAGCCUCCCAAGUAGCUGGGAUUACAGGCGCAUGUCACCACGCCAGGCUAAUUUUUGUAUUUUUAGUAGAGACGGGGUUUCACCAUGUUGGCCAGGCUGGUCUCCAACUCCUGACCUCAGGUGAUCUGCCCGCCUCCACCUCCUAAAGUGCUGAGAUUACAGGCGUGACCCAUUGCACCUGGCCUAUUAUUAUUGUUAUUUUUGAGAUGGAGUCUCACUGUGUCGCCCAAACCGGAGUGCAGUGGCGCCAUCUCAGCUCACUGCAAGCUCCACCUCCUGGGUUCACGCCAUCCUCCUGCCUCAGCCUCUGGAGCAGCUGGGACCAC